GGUAUCUUUCGGACGACAUACAGCAUGUUGCCUUUUGCAAUUGUUGAUUUUGAAAAUGGUGGAGGAUUGGCAGUGAUUCCAACCAAAUGGUUUAUCGGGCCUGAGGAGGAUGAAUGCUACUGGCCACCAGCAAGAGUUAAAAUUGCAAAGGCGGUCAUAGAGCAACAGGACCCACACUCUGACUGGGUAACCUACAAGUUGACUGUCAAGAGAAAAGCAGGUCUAGGAGAGUGAUUCUGUCCAGCGAGGAAGAAGAUGAUGAUAGCCCUACACCUCCACUACCUCCAUCCACCCUCAGGUCUGUGCUGAUGCCUCCAUUGCCUUCAUCCACCCACAGGCCUACACCUCCUCUGCCUCCAGCCACCCUCUGGUCUGCCCCAACACCUCUACUGCCUCCAAUCCUGACACACAGUGAUGCGAGUGAAACUGAUUAGAAUGUGUACUUUUCAAUCGGCCCGUUUAAUUGUCUGAUUGAAGUGUCUGUGCUGACAUCUCCUUUGCUCUAUCCAACUGGU
Fundulus heteroclitus (mummichog) is the source of this 515-nucleotide long non-coding RNA. RefSeq lists it as uncharacterized. The transcript has 3 exons. The record is from RefSeq and is a predicted model, not a curated record. NCBI's taxonomy places the organism in Eukaryota, Metazoa, Chordata, Actinopteri, Cyprinodontiformes, Fundulidae.